UGGGGAAUCUUGCGCAAUGGGCGAAAGCCUGACGCAGCGACGCCGCGUGAGUGAUGAAGGCCUUCGGGUUGUAAAGCUCUGUGGGGAGAGAAGAAUAAGUGCGGGCUAAUACUCCGCAUGAUGACGGUAUCUCCUUAGCAAGCACCGGCUAACUCUGUGCCAGCAGCCGCGGUAAGACAGAGGGUGCAAACGUUGUUCGGAAUUACUGGGCGUAAAGCGAGUGUAGGCGGUUUGGUAAGUCGGAUGUGAAAGCCCCGGGCUCAACCCGGGAAGUGCAUUCGAUACUGCCAAGCUAGAGUAUCGGAGAGGUUGGUGGAAUUCUCGGUGUAGAGGUGAAAUUCGUAGAUAUCGAGAGGAACACCGGUGGCGAAGGCGGCCAACUGGACGAAUACUGACGCUGAGACUCGAAAGCGUGGGGAGCAAACAGGAUUAGAUACCCUGGUAGUCCCUGAGCGGGCUGGCAAGGCGCAU
RNAcentral lists this ribosomal RNA (471 nucleotides) under uncultured bacterium. Its description in RNAcentral is "bacterial SSU rRNA". It matches the Rfam family "Bacterial small subunit ribosomal RNA", at positions 355 to 825 of the family's 1533-position model. The record is from RNAcentral.